Molecule: transfer RNA, 57 nt
Filed under: Fukomys damarensis (Damara mole-rat)
Lineage: Eukaryota; Metazoa; Chordata; Mammalia; Rodentia; Bathyergidae
Rfam family: tRNA
About the family: Transfer RNA (tRNA) molecules are approximately 80 nucleotides in length. Their secondary structure includes four short double-helical elements and three loops (D, anti-codon, and T loops).
Source: Rfam by way of RNAcentral
UGGCACAGUGGUACUGCACCUGCCUGGUAAGCAGAAGGUCCUGAGUUCAAUUCCCAG